AAAAUGUUUCUUCAAAGCUUACUUGGUAACAAUCACAUUAAUUGUGACGUCCAAUGCGGACUCUUUGGAGAGGUCACGAAUAUGCAAGUCAUGAGACUCGAAAGAAAGAAAAGGAAAAUAAGAGUAAUUAUACAAAUAUACGUGGCCUAAAGGAAUGCAUCAUGUCGGGUACGGGUGAACUAACAUUCGUGACUUUCAAUGUUCCCUUCAAUAGAGGGAAUACGAGU
RNAcentral lists this long non-coding RNA (227 nucleotides) under Coffea arabica (coffee). RNAcentral's name for it is "long non-coding RNA (CARA_LNC006322)". The record is from RNAcentral. Lineage: Eukaryota; Viridiplantae; Streptophyta; Magnoliopsida; Gentianales; Rubiaceae.